GCGAACGGACGAGAAGCUUGCUUCUCUGAUGUUAGCGGCGGACGGGUGAGUAACACGUGGAUAACCUACCUAUAAGACUGGGAUAACUUCGGGAAACCGGAGCUAAUACCGGAUAAUAUUUUGAACCGCAUGGUUCAAAAGUGAAAGACGGUCUUGCUGUCACUUAUAGAUGGAUCCGCGCUGCAUUAGCUAGUUGGUAAGGUAACGGCUUACCAAGGCAACGAUGCAUAGCCGACCUGAGAGGGUGAUCGGCCACACUGGAACUGAGACACGGUCCAGACUCCUACGGGAGGCAGCAGUAGGGAAUCUUCCGCAAUGGGCGCAAGCCUGACGGAGCAACGCCGCGUGAGUGAUGAAGGUCUUCGGAUCGUAAAACUCUGUUAUUAGGGAAGAACAUAUGUGUAAGUAACUGUGCACAUCUUGACGGUACCUAAUCAGAAAGCCACGGCUAACUACGUGCCAGCAGCCGCGGUAAUACGUAGGUGGCAAGCGUUAUCCGGAAUUAUUGGGCGUAAAGCGCGCGUAGGCGGUUUUUUAAGUCUGAUGUGAAAGCCCACGGCUCAACCGUGGAGGGUCAUUGGAAACUGGAAAACUUGAGUGCAGAAGAGGAAAGUGGAAUUCCAUGUGUAGCGGUGAAAUGCGCAGAGAUAUGGAGGAACACCAGUGGCGAAGGCGACUUUCUGGUCUGUACUGACGCUGAUGUGCGAAAGCGUGGGGAUCAAACAGGAUUAGAUACCCUGGUAGUCCACGCCGUAAACGAUGAGUGCUAAGUGUUAGGGGGUUUCCGCCCCUUAGUGCUGCAGCUAACGCAUUAAGCACUCCGCCUGGGGAGUACGACC
This 839-nucleotide ribosomal RNA is filed under the name uncultured Staphylococcus sp. RNAcentral describes it as "bacterial SSU rRNA". It matches the Rfam family "Bacterial small subunit ribosomal RNA", at positions 66 to 887 of the family's 1533-position model. The record is from RNAcentral. Lineage: Bacteria; Bacillati; Bacillota; Bacilli; Caryophanales; Staphylococcaceae.